Molecule: microRNA, 22 nt
Filed under: Chrysemys picta (Painted turtle)
Lineage: Eukaryota; Metazoa; Chordata; Testudines; Emydidae
Description: cpi-miR-9596-5p
Source: miRBase by way of RNAcentral
UGCUAGUUCCAGCGCAGUCCAG